CACGUGUACAUGGUACCACGUGGUCUGCACUCAGUCACUUGACUCCUACCUACCCUGUCUGCAUUCUUUCUUUGCGCUGAUACUCCUCGACCUGUUCUUGACUCAAGCUCCUCCCAGAGAUCCAGGACUGCUGAGAACCACGUGCAUCUAUGGCUGUUACAGGCGGUAAUUACACCACAACCACAGUCGUGGUUGUUGGAGUUGCGGCAGCUUUGGUGGGCUUCCUCAUCGGCUACAAGGUGCGAGACAGAUCGGGAUCCAAGGGGGCCAGGUCCAGCUAAUAUUUACACCUGUUCCAGCAGAACACGCUUAAUACUGGAUUUGCUAUAAGACCACAAGCAAGUAUGGAUUGCCAGAUAUACUAUGACGGCAGGAUGCAACAUCACCACUGAAAUGCCUGUCACCCAACAGACGAUCGCAUUCCCAUAUGGGAGUUCUAUAGUUUUAUUUUUACAUUAAAAUAUUCACUUUGA
Long non-coding RNA from Pomacea canaliculata, 473 nucleotides. RefSeq lists it as uncharacterized. The transcript is spliced from 2 exons. NCBI's taxonomy places the organism in Eukaryota, Metazoa, Mollusca, Gastropoda, Architaenioglossa, Ampullariidae. The record is from RefSeq and is a predicted model, not a curated record.